UAGGGAAUCUUCCGCAAUGGACGCAAGUCUGACGGAGCAACGCCGCGUGAGUGAAGAAGGAUUUCGGUUCGUAAAACUCUGUUGUUAGAGAAGAACAGCGCAUAGAGUAACUGUUAUGCGUGUGACGGUAUCUAACCAGAAAGCCACGGCUAACUACGUGCCAGCAGCCGCGGUAAUACGUAGGUGGCAAGCGUUGUCCGGAUUUAUUGGGCGUAAAGCGAGCGCAGGCGGUCAAUUAAGUCUGAUGUGAAAGCCCCCGGCUCAACCGGGGAGGGUCAUUGGAAACUGGUUGACUUGAGUGCAGAAGAGGAGAGUGGAGUUCCAUGUGUAGCGGUGAAAUGCGUAGAUAUAUGGAGGAACACCAGUGGCGAAGGCGACUCUCUGGUCUGUAACUGACGCUGAGGCUCGAAAGCGUGGGUAGCAAACAGG
Molecule: ribosomal RNA, 429 nt
Filed under: Bacteroidota bacterium
Lineage: Bacteria; Pseudomonadati; Bacteroidota
Description: Bacteroidetes bacterium partial 16S ribosomal RNA
Rfam family: Bacterial small subunit ribosomal RNA
Source: RNAcentral